This 271-nucleotide ribosomal RNA is filed under the name uncultured bacterium. RNAcentral describes it as "partial 16S ribosomal RNA". It matches the Rfam family "Bacterial small subunit ribosomal RNA", at positions 524 to 794 of the family's 1533-position model. The record is from RNAcentral.
UACGAAGGGGGCGAGCGUUGUUCGGAGUUACUGGGCGUAAAGGGCGCGUAGGCGGCGCUCCAAGUUAGGCGUGAAAGCCCCGGGCUCAACCUGGGAAUUGCGCUUAAGACUGGAGUGCUCGAGUGCGGGAGAGGUGAGUGGAAUUCCCAGUGUAGAGGUGAAAUUCGUAGAUAUUGACAGGAACACCAGUGGCGCAAGCGGCUAUCUGGACCGACAUCGACGCUGAGGCACGAAAGCGUGGGGAUCAAACAGGAUUAGAAACCCGUGUAGU